GCAAGUCGAACGAGAACGGGUAUUAGCUUGCUAAUACUGUCAGCUAAGUGGCGCACGGGUGAGUAAUAUAUAGUUAACCUGCCCCAAAAAAGAGAAUAAUUGUUGGAAACGACUUGUAAAUCUCUAUAUGCCUUUAUUACAUAAGUAAGCAAGGGAAACAUUUAUGGCUUUGGGAUGGGACUGUACGGUAUCAGUUAGUUGGUGAGGUAAUGGCUCACCAAGACAAUGACGCCUAACUGGUUUGAGAGGAUGAUC
Molecule: ribosomal RNA, 255 nt
Filed under: uncultured bacterium
Lineage: Bacteria
Description: partial 16S ribosomal RNA
Rfam family: Bacterial small subunit ribosomal RNA
Source: RNAcentral